GAUGAACGCUGGCGGCGUGCCUAAUACAUGCAAGUCGAGCGAACAGACGAGGAGCUUGCUCCUCUGAUGUUAGCGGCGGACGGGUGAGUAACACGUGGAUAACCUACCUACAAGACUGGGAUAACUUCGGGAAACCGGAGCUAAUACCGGAUAACAUGUUGAACCGCAUGGUUCAACAGUGAAAGACGGUCUUGCUGUCACUUAUAGAUGGAUCCGCGCCGCAUUAGCUAGUUGGUAAGGUAACGGCUUACCAAGGCAACGAUGCGUAGCCGACCUGAGAGGGUGAUCGGCCACACUGGAACUGAGACACGGUCCAGACUCCUACGGGAGGCAGCAGUAGGGAAGCUUCCGCAAUGGGUGAAAGCCUGACGGAGCAACGCCGCGUGAGUGAAGAAGGUCUUCGGAUCGUAAAACGCUGUUAUUAGGGAAGAACAAAUGUGUAAGUAACUAUGCACGUCUUGACGGUACCUAAUCAGAAAGCCACGGCUAACUACGU
RNAcentral lists this ribosomal RNA (496 nucleotides) under uncultured bacterium. Its description in RNAcentral is "partial 16S ribosomal RNA". It matches the Rfam family "Bacterial small subunit ribosomal RNA", at positions 28 to 506 of the family's 1533-position model. The record is from RNAcentral.